Molecule: ribosomal RNA, 483 nt
Filed under: uncultured bacterium
Lineage: Bacteria
Description: partial 16S ribosomal RNA
Rfam family: Bacterial small subunit ribosomal RNA
Source: RNAcentral
GACGAACGCUGGCGGCGUGCCUAACACAUGCAAGUCGAACGAGGUCCAGGGGAGCUUGCUCCCUGACGACCUAGUGGCGAACGGGUGAGUAACACGUGAGAAACCUGCCUCGGAGUGGGGAAUAACUCGGGGAAACUCGAGCUAAUACCGCAUACCUUCACAUGAUCGCAUGGUCGAGUGAAGAAAGAACUUCGCUCUGAGAGGGGCUCGUGGCCUAUCAGCUUGUUGGUGGGGUAACGGCCUACCAAGGCAACGACGGGUAGCUGGUUUGAGAGAACGAUCAGCCACACAGGGACUGAGACACGGCCCAGACUCCUACGGGAGGCAGCAGUGGGGAAUCUUGCGCAAUGGGCGAAAGCCUGACGCAGCAACGCCGCGUGCGGGAUGACGGCCUUCGUGGUUGUAAACCGCUUUCAGCAGGGACGAAAAUGACGGUACCUGCAGAAGAAGCCCCGGCUAACUACGUGCCAGCAGCCGCCGUAA